RNAcentral lists this long non-coding RNA (669 nucleotides) under Bos indicus x Bos taurus (hybrid cattle). Its description in RNAcentral is "lncRNA (ENSBIXG00000029068.1)". The record is from RNAcentral. Lineage: Eukaryota; Metazoa; Chordata; Mammalia; Artiodactyla; Bovidae.
AGCCUCUGGUAGGAGUCGUGUGCUGUCCACCUGCCUCUGCACCUGGAUGUGAUUUCCUGAUCUGUGAUGGUGAUGACAGCUGCCCCAGACAGGAAGCUUUUUCCAGCCCCGGCCAAAGCACCUCUGCCUGUGACCUCCAGGCGGAUUCCUAACCAUGGGCCCACCAGGAAAGCCUGCGGACCAGGACUUGUCUUCAUCGCCCCCAGACCUUGGCAUCAGGACUCCAGGAGAGGCCGCCCCGGAAUGUUCCACCCUGGCUCGAUGCCUGCCGGGCCGCGUGGCGGGCACAACGGUGCGGUUCACACCCCUGUGCCCUGUGGGUCCAGGUCCCACAGAAGCCCCUGGGGACUGGUGGCCAUGGAGGGACGUCACCCAGGCCUGAAUUGUGCUUUGGAGCUGAAAAGUCGCUGUCUCACAAGACCCAAGGCGGUAGGGUGCAGCAGCAGCCUGCCUGGCUAGAGAGGGAAGUCGGCCAUGAAUGAAUGAACGGGUUUGCUGCAGAGUCUGUGAGGCUUCAGGACAUUUUCUGGGUGAGGAGCCGGCCGGGGAGCGCGCCCACCUCUGCGGCAGCUCCGAUUGGCGCGUUUUCUCCAGCCUCCUGAGCAGCCUUGCCAAGUGUCAUAAAAAUACAUCAGUGCUCCGGCCGCCCAGAGUCGUACUUACUGCCAG